This is a long non-coding RNA of Papaver somniferum (opium poppy), 783 nucleotides long. RefSeq lists it as uncharacterized. Lineage: Eukaryota; Viridiplantae; Streptophyta; Magnoliopsida; Ranunculales; Papaveraceae. The record is from RefSeq and is a predicted model, not a curated record. The transcript has 2 exons.
UUCUUUCUUAUUCUCUUUCUCAAAACUGAAGAACAGAAAAACCAUUGUUCUUCUUCUUGUCCAUUUCUGAUUCUCUAUCAGAUUCAUCAUCACUACCACCUUUUUCUUCACCACCACCACCGCCACCACCAUCAUCAACAUCUUCUUCUUCAAUUAUUUCAAAAAAUUGAAAUUAAGGUCGUGAUGAAACUGUGUUUAGGGAUUUUAUUUUUUUUUGAUGCGAACUUUUGGUCUAUUUUCAGAUGAUUAUAACAAAUUGAAGAAGAAGAACAAUAGUUGCUCGAGAAUUGUAGAUGAUUAUAACAAAUAUGGAUGGAAAUUGGGGGAUCUGAGAUGAUUGAAGAAUGGGUACUGCAUGUUAUUGAGAUUGGUGCCGAGUUGAUGGUGGUAGCAUCUUGAGAUAAGAUGAAGUUGUGUUGGUUGAUUUCCUGUGAUGGUGUAAUGCAAUGAAGGAGAUCGAAGAUGGGUUUGUAGUGGUGCUGUAAUUACAGGAAAGAUCAAUUGAUCAGGUGUCGUGUGUUGAUGAUGAAACAAUCAGUAGGAAGAGAUGAUGUUCAUAACUCAGAGAAGAAAAAGAGUGAGCAGCUGAUAUUGAACUAUAUUUUUUGAGAUGAAAUGAUGGUGCACAACACAUUAACAACAUCAAUACCCAUUUCUGCUGCUCCAUUCUUCUUCAGUUAUGCAAAUGGAUUCAGUUAUGUAAUUUUUUUUCUUAAUUUUAAUUUUUGAAUGCAAUGAACUGGUGUUGUGGUGCAUAAAUUACACCUGAGUAUUUUUACAUAA